Cyphomyrmex costatus is the source of this 671-nucleotide long non-coding RNA. RefSeq lists it as uncharacterized. The record is from RefSeq and is a predicted model, not a curated record. The transcript is spliced from 3 exons. NCBI's taxonomy places the organism in Eukaryota, Metazoa, Arthropoda, Insecta, Hymenoptera, Formicidae.
UGUUAAUCAAUUAUUAUAAUAUACUUGGGUACAUUUAUGCAUAGACGUAUUUUUGUUUCACUUCAACUUAUUGCACCGUGCGUACUAGUUCAGAUAGUGCAGGAACAAAAAACAGACUCAAUGUUAUCUUAGAAUGCGACUUAGUCAUAAUCCGUUUUUUUACAAUCAAAUAUCAAUUACGCCUUAAAAAUCCUACAGCGCCGAUAAAGGGUUAAUUAUAUUCAUGACAUACGGUUAAUUUAGCGUUUGAACUUCGCUCUACUUCGCACUGCACUUCUGAGCAUUUCUUAUUGGCUCGCUACGAUCGUUACGUCAUAACAUGUGACAUCAUAUGCGCAAUGGUUUUGCACACCUAUGUUUUUACAUUAUGUAAUGAGGACAGUUGAGUUCAUUGAGUCUGUUAGUUCGGUUGGUUCUAUUGAGUUUGUCACGACACCAUCAGCACUCGACAAACGAAUUUUGUAAAGUUACGUGCGACUCAAUCAUCUCUAAAAUCAGCCAAAAAGGAUUAGGAAGAAAAGAACAUCAACGAGGAAGGUCUAUUAUAUGAUGCAGGCAUCGCAGAUUAAAGAUUAAAAAUUGCUGGAGUUCCGGCCGCAGAGCAUUGUCCAUAUGUGAAGACGUUACCAUUGCAGAGCUGUAGCGUCGCCAGUUUGUAACAAAAUCACUAU